Molecule: ribosomal RNA, 585 nt
Filed under: uncultured bacterium
Lineage: Bacteria
Description: bacterial SSU rRNA
Rfam family: Bacterial small subunit ribosomal RNA
Source: RNAcentral
ACGGGUGAGUAAUACAUCGGAACGUGCCCAAGAGUGGGGGAUAACGGAGCGAAAGCUUUGCUAAUACCGCAUACGAUCUACGGAUGAAAGCAGGGGACCGCAAGGCCUUGCGCUCAUGGAGCGGCCGAUGGCAGAUUAGGUAGUUGGUGGGAUAAAAGCUUACCAAGCCGACGAUCUGUAGCUGGUCUGAGAGGACGACCAGCCACACUGGGACUGAGACACGGCCCAGACUCCUACGGGAGGCAGCAGUGGGGAAUUUUGGACAAUGGGCGCAAGCCUGAUCCAGCCAUGCCGCGUGCAGGAUGAAGGCCUUCGGGUUGUAAACUGCUUUUGUACGGAACGAAAAGCCUCUUUCGAAUAAAGAGAGGUCAUGACGGUACCGUAAGAAUAAGCACCGGCUAACUACGUGCCAGCAGCCGCGGUAAUACGUAGGGUGCGAGCGUUAAUCGGAAUUACUGGGCGUAAAGCGUGCGCAGGCGGUAAUGUAAGACAGAUGUGAAAUCCCCGGGCUCAACCUGGGAACUGCAUUUGUGACUGCAUUGCUGGAGUGCGGCAGAGGGGGAUGGAAUUCCGCGUGUAGCAGUG